UGGGGAAUAUUGCACAAUGGGCGCAAGCCUGAUGCAGCCAUGCCGCGUGUGUGAAGAAGGCCUUCGGGUUGUAAAGCACUUUCAGCGGGGAGGAAGGCGUUAAGGUUAAUAACCUUGGCGAUUGACGUUACCCGCAGAAGAAGCACCGGCUAACUCCGUGCCAGCAGCCGCGGUAAUACGGAGGGUGCAAGCGUUAAUCGGAAUUACUGGGCGUAAAGCGCACGCAGGCGGUCUGUCAAGUCGGAUGUGAAAUCCCCGGGCUCAACCUGGGAACUACAUUCGAAACUGGCAGGCUAGAGUCUUGUAGAGGGGGGUAGAAUUCCAGGUGUAGCGGUGAAAUGCGUAGAGAUCUGGAGGAAUACCGGUGGCGAAGGCGGCCCCCUGGACAAAGACUGACGCUCAGGUGCGAAAGCGUGGGGAGCAAACAGG
RNAcentral lists this ribosomal RNA (429 nucleotides) under Chloroflexota bacterium. Its description in RNAcentral is "Chloroflexi bacterium partial 16S ribosomal RNA". It matches the Rfam family "Bacterial small subunit ribosomal RNA", at positions 355 to 776 of the family's 1533-position model. Lineage: Bacteria; Bacillati; Chloroflexota. The record is from RNAcentral.